AACAGGACCAUAAAGGAUCAAAAAAAGGAGCGAUGCCGGCUGGUUGAAAUCCUUAAGCCUGAAACCGAAUACCACAAAACCAUGAGCCAACUACAAGUGCCAAGCCGCCAGGAAGAAGCAGGAUGCAGCCAUGUAUGUAUGCAGUGGUGGAGAAAGGAAACAAAUGCAACCCUGAAUUCCCCUGGGUAACAACAGAAGAGGCUGAGGCAGCACAAGCUUCCUGUACCAUCCUCCUAACGUGCCUCUACCAGAACCCACGGGAGGCACUUCUACAGUCAGGCAGUAGGUCCGUUUCCACAUCCAUGUAGUCUUGGCCUCUCUGCUGACAUUCGAAAUAACCCAGGCAGUUAAAGCCAAUCUUUGGUCAUGGUUUAUGGGAUGUGGACACCUGGCUACCAGAAGCUGGACUGAGCCCAUAUGAACUCGCUUCCACGGAGACACUGAGCAGACCACAGGUGGUAACACCUUUCAGCCUGUUAACAAAGCCUGGAUCUCAACCAAUAAACCGAUGAAUAAAAAGAUCCCCCCAUCCCCCAA
Alligator mississippiensis (American alligator) is the source of this 537-nucleotide long non-coding RNA. RefSeq lists it as uncharacterized. The transcript has 3 exons. The record is from RefSeq and is a predicted model, not a curated record. NCBI's taxonomy places the organism in Eukaryota, Metazoa, Chordata, Crocodylia, Alligatoridae.